AUUGAACGCUGGCGGAAUGCUUUACACAUGCAAGUCGAACGGCAGCACGGGGCAACCUGGUGGCGAGUGGCGAACGGGUGAGUAAUACAUCGGAACGUGCCCAAUCGUGGGGGAUAACGUAGCGAAAGUUACGCUAAUACCGCAUACGAUCUACGGAUGAAAGCGGGGGAUCGCAAGACCUCGCGCGGAUGGAGCGGCCGAUGUCAGAUUAGGUAGUUGGUGGGGUAAAGGCUCACCAAGCCAACGAUCUGUAGCUGGUCUGAGAGGACGACCAGCCACACUGGAACUGAGACACGGUCCAGACUCCUACGGGAGGCAGCAGUGGGGAAUUUUGGACAAUGGGCGCAAGCCUGAUCCAGCCAUUCCGCGUGCAGGAUG
RNAcentral lists this ribosomal RNA (378 nucleotides) under uncultured bacterium. Its description in RNAcentral is "bacterial SSU rRNA". It matches the Rfam family "Bacterial small subunit ribosomal RNA", at positions 30 to 410 of the family's 1533-position model. The record is from RNAcentral.